This 1211-nucleotide ribosomal RNA is filed under the name Mesonia algae. Its description in RNAcentral is "bacterial SSU rRNA". It matches the Rfam family "Bacterial small subunit ribosomal RNA", at positions 221 to 1433 of the family's 1533-position model. Lineage: Bacteria; Pseudomonadati; Bacteroidota; Flavobacteriia; Flavobacteriales; Flavobacteriaceae. The record is from RNAcentral.
AUAGAUGAGUAUGCGUCCUAUUAGUUUGUUGGUAAGGUAACGGCUUACCAAGACUUCGAUAGGUAGGGGUCCUGAGAGGGAGAUCCCCCACACUGGUACUGAGACACGGACCAGACUCCUACGGGAGGCAGCAGUGAGGAAUAUUGGACAAUGGAGGCAACUCUGAUCCAGCCAUGCCGCGUGCAGGAAGACUGCCCUAUGGGUUGUAAACUGCUUUUAUAGAGGAAGAAACCUCCCUUCGUGAAGGGAAUUGACGGUACUCUACGAAUAAGGAUCGGCUAACUCCGUGCCAGCAGCCGCGGUAAUACGGAGGAUCCAAGCGUUAUCCGGAAUCAUUGGGUUUAAAGGGUCCGUAGGCGGACUAAUAAGUCAGUGGUGAAAGUCUGCAGCUCAACUGUAGAAUUGCCAUUGAUACUGUUAGUCUUGAGUCAUUAUGAAGUGGUUAGAAUGAGUGGUGUAGCGGUGAAAUGCAUAGAUAUCACUCAGAAUACCGAUUGCGAAGGCAGAUCACUAAUAAUGUACUGACGCUGAUGGACGAAAGCGUAGGUAGCGAACAGGAUUAGAUACCCUGGUAGUCUACGCCGUAAACGAUGGUUACUAGCUGUUUGGUCGAUUGAGACUGAGUGGCUAAGCGAAAGUGAUAAGUAACCCACCUGGGGAGUACGUUCGCAAGAAUGAAACUCAAAGGAAUUGACGGGGGCCCGCACAAGCGGUGGAGCAUGUGGUUUAAUUCGAUGAUACGCGAGGAACCUUACCAGGGCUUAAAUGUAGUCUGACAGAUUUGGAAACAGAUUUUUCUUCGGACAGAUUACAAGGUGCUGCAUGGUUGUCGUCAGCUCGUGCCGUGAGGUGUCAGGUUAAGUCCUAUAACGAGCGCAACCCCUGUGGUUAGUUGCCAGCGAGUCAAGUCGGGAACUCUAGCCAGACUGCCGGUGCAAACCGUGAGGAAGGUGGGGAUGACGUCAAAUCAUCACGGCCCUUACGUCCUGGGCCACACACGUGCUACAAUGGUAGGGACAGAGAGCAGCCACUUCGCGAGAAGGAGCGAAUCUUCAAACCCUAUCACAGUUCGGAUCGCAGUCUGCAACUCGACUGCGUGAAGCUGGAAUCGCUAGUAAUCGGAUAUCAGCCAUGAUCCGGUGAAUACGUUCCCGGGCCUUGUACACACCGCCCGUCAAGCCAUGGAAGCUGGGGGUACCUGAAGUCCGUUA